Molecule: ribosomal RNA, 543 nt
Filed under: uncultured bacterium
Lineage: Bacteria
Description: bacterial SSU rRNA
Rfam family: Bacterial small subunit ribosomal RNA
Source: RNAcentral
GCUAUUUAGGUUAGAGUUUGAUCCUGGCUCAGGACGAACGCUGGCGGCGUGCUUAACACAUGCAAGUGGAGCGACGAAGCAGACUUCGGUCUGUGGCAGAGCCGCGAACGGGUGAGUAACACGUGGGUAACGUGCCCCAAUCACCGGGACAACCCGAGGAAACUCGAGCUAAUACCGGAUGUGGUCCUCUCACAUCAGUGAGUUGACUAAAGGUAGCUUCGGCUUCCGGAUUGGGAUCGGCUCGCGGCGGAUUAGCUUGUUGGCGGGGUAAUGGCCCACCAAGGCGACGAUCCGUAGCUGGUCUGAGAGGACGAUCAGCCACACUGGGACUGAGACACGGCCCAGACUCCUACGGGAGGCAGCAGUGGGGAAUCUUGCGCAAUGGGCGAAAGCCUGACGCAGCGACGCCGCGUGAGGGAAGAAGGCCUUCGGGUUGUAAACCUCUUUCAGGAGGGACGAAGCCACUCGGGUUAAUAGCCCAGAGGGUGACGGUACCUCCAGAAGAAGCCCCGGCUAACUACGUGCCAGCAGCCGCGGUACGCC